Molecule: signal recognition particle RNA, 244 nt
Filed under: Callithrix jacchus (white-tufted-ear marmoset)
Lineage: Eukaryota; Metazoa; Chordata; Mammalia; Primates; Cebidae
Description: Metazoan signal recognition particle RNA (ENSCJAG00000084563.1)
Rfam family: Metazoan signal recognition particle RNA
About the family: The signal recognition particle (SRP) is a universally conserved ribonucleoprotein. It is involved in the co-translational targeting of proteins to membranes.
Source: Rfam by way of RNAcentral
GCCAGGCACGGUGGCUCACGCCUGUAAUCCUAGCACUUUGGGAGGCUGAGGUGGGUGGAUCACCUGAGGUCAGGAGUUCAAGACCAGCCUGGCCAUCAUGGUGAAACCCCAUCUUUAUUCUAAAAAAAAAAAAAGAGAGAGAGAGAAUGUUUUCUUUCUUUCUUUCUUUUUUUUAAGAAGGGGUUUCACCAUGGUGGCCAGGCUGGUCUUGAACUCCUGACCUUAGGUGAUCCACCCACCUCGG